GCAUUCCUCACGGACAUCGGGUCACAAGGCGCCUGACACACCAGUGCAACACCGAGCGUCGUUCGGUCAAAGCGCGUUCAGCGCUAGUUAUGAACAAAUAGGGUUCGAAAACCCAUUGCCCCCAACGUUUUCCGCUUCCCCGAGGUCAGGCAGGCAAUCGAGGUCCACGACAACUGCACGGAGUGCCGCAGAACGCGAUCGUCGCCUAAGGGUUCACCCAGAGCCAUGCCGCGCAAACGGGUAGAUCCGAGGCGAACGGUAUAUAUUUCGACAAAUGAAUUCCAUCGGUAUAGGUAUGCAACACAGGAAACCAGAAAAGGUGGACGAGGCUAAUAUCGCUCUCGCGCCAAAGAUUGAAGAGGAAUGCACGGGAGGACGUCGCUGCCCCAAGCAGGGAU
This 398-nucleotide unclassified non-coding RNA is filed under the name Coussarea tenuiflora. RNAcentral's name for it is "partial external transcribed spacer". The record is from RNAcentral. Lineage: Eukaryota; Viridiplantae; Streptophyta; Magnoliopsida; Gentianales; Rubiaceae.